AGUUACGCUAUUCAAUACAGCUCGAAUGGACCUUACAACUUUAMACCUUAUCAGUCAGGCAAAGUCCUGAUKGGAAACACGGAUUCAAACACGGUGGUAAAGAAWGAUUUAAAGCCCUUYGUUGCUCAGUUCAUACGAGUCUUCCCUAAAGGSGUUAAAAGSUGGGCAGUGCUCCGAUUGGAGCUUUACGGAUGCAAAAACUAAAAAAGAUUAAUGUAACAUGGAAAAGUCUACCAAGGCAGACCGUAGAAAAGAAAUAAUAAAGGCAAUUGUAGCACAAUAAAAAAAAUAACUUGUCUGCUUAGAAUUAAAUAAAACUAUGAUUAUAAUCA
Molecule: long non-coding RNA, 332 nt
Organism: Exaiptasia diaphana
Lineage: Eukaryota; Metazoa; Cnidaria; Anthozoa; Actiniaria; Aiptasiidae
Exons: 2
Source: RefSeq, a predicted model, not a curated record